UACGAAGGGGGCUAGCGUUGUUCGGAAUCACUGGGCGUAAAGGGCGCGUAGGCGGCUUUAUAAGUCGGGGGUGAAAGCCUGUGGCUCAACCACAGAAUUGCCUUCGAUACUGUAGAGCUUGAGUCCGGAAGAGGUAAGUGGAACUGCGAGUGUAGAGGUGAAAUUCGUAGAUAUUCGCAAGAACACCAGUGGCGAAGGCGGCUUACUGGUCCGGUACUGACGCUGAGGUGCGAAAGCGUGGGGAGCAAACAGG
This 253-nucleotide ribosomal RNA is filed under the name uncultured bacterium. RNAcentral describes it as "partial 16S ribosomal RNA". It matches the Rfam family "Bacterial small subunit ribosomal RNA", at positions 524 to 776 of the family's 1533-position model. The record is from RNAcentral.